AGAUUGAACGCUGGCGGCAUGCCUAACACAUGCAAGUCGAACGGGAGUAGCAAUACUCUAGUGGCGGACGGGUGAGGAAUACGUAGGAAUUUGCCCUUAAGUGGGGGAUAACCCGGGGAAACCCGGAUUAAUACCGCAUGACCUCGAAAGAGCAAAGUGGGGGAUCGCAAGACCUCACGCUUUUGGAGAAGCCUACGUCGGAUUAGCUAGUUGGUGAGGUAAUGGCUCACCAAGGCGACGAUCCGUAACUGGUCUGAGAGGAUGAUCAGUCACACCGGAACUGAGACACGGUCCGGACUCCGUACGGGAGCCAGCAGGUGGGGAAUAGUUGGACAAGUGGGCGC
Molecule: ribosomal RNA, 344 nt
Filed under: uncultured soil bacterium
Lineage: Bacteria
Description: bacterial SSU rRNA
Rfam family: Bacterial small subunit ribosomal RNA
Source: RNAcentral